ACGGAGGAUGCAAGCGUUAUCCGGAAUCAUUGGGCGUAAAGCGUCCGCAGGUGGUUAAUCAAGUCUGCUGUUAAAGACAGAAGCUCAACUUCUGAUAGGCAGUGGAAACUGGUUAACUAGAGUAUGGUAGGGGUUGAGGGAAUUCCCAGUGUAGCGGUGAAAUGCGUAGAUAUUGGGAAGAACACCAGUGGCGAAGGCGCUCAACUGGGCCAUAACUGACACUCAGGGACGAAAGCUAGGGUAGCGAAAGGGAUUAGAUACCCCUGUAGUCUUAGCUGUAAACGAUGAACACUAGGCGUUGCUUGUAUCGACCCGAGCAGUGCCGUAGCCAACGCGUUAAGUGUUCCGCCUGGGGAGUACGCACGCAAGUGUG
This 373-nucleotide ribosomal RNA is filed under the name uncultured bacterium. Its description in RNAcentral is "bacterial SSU rRNA". It matches the Rfam family "Bacterial small subunit ribosomal RNA", at positions 525 to 896 of the family's 1533-position model. The record is from RNAcentral.